GACGAGAGAGAAAGAGAGAGGUAGAGAGAGAGAGAGAGAGAGAGAGAGAGAGAAGGAGAAAGAGUCAGAGUCAGAAGAGUCAAAUCAUCGCGACGGCAGAGCAGCGAGGACGGCGUUAGUGGCAGUGGCGAUGGUGCACGCAUGUCGGGGUAAACGUGUCAAGGUGCCGAUAGACGUAGCGACGCGACGAAUCCGUCGCGAGAUAUAGUAGCGAGGAUGGACUAAGGCGAAGGAAAAGGAGAAAGCAUGAAGGAAGAAGCAGGACGGCAAGACGCACGCCCGACAAUGACGACGACGUACGAUUCAAAGUGCCCGCGAACGGAAAGAUCAGGCAGGAAAAUUUAAGAGGAUGUAAUCUGCUCGUGUCCUGAAUUAGCUCGAACGAUAUAAGGUGACCUAAUUGAUUGAAAAUUUCUUGCUUGACGAUUUUCGUUAUCGACAAUAAAAAAAUGUUUAUUUUGUAAAACUUGGAGAGUGGUAGAACAGAUACGAUUUAUAUACUCUCACAGGUUCGUUAAAAUCUAUAAAAAAAAUUCAAACGAUUAUAUCGUAUUUCAUGGAGUAUGAUAAUAAAUACAUUUAUCGCAUUAUGUGCCGUUCCAACAGUUCGU
Long non-coding RNA from Vespula vulgaris, 611 nucleotides. RefSeq lists it as uncharacterized. The transcript is spliced from 3 exons. The record is from RefSeq and is a predicted model, not a curated record. Lineage: Eukaryota; Metazoa; Arthropoda; Insecta; Hymenoptera; Vespidae.